Molecule: ribosomal RNA, 468 nt
Filed under: uncultured bacterium
Lineage: Bacteria
Description: bacterial SSU rRNA
Rfam family: Bacterial small subunit ribosomal RNA
Source: RNAcentral
AGAGUUUGAUCCUGGCUCAGAAUGAACGUUGGCGGCGUGGAUUAGGCAUGCAAGUCGAGAGGGUUAGACCCUCGGCGAAAGGGACAGUAACACGUGGAUAACUUGCCUCGGGGUCAGGGAUAACUGCGGGAAACUGCGGAUAAUACCUGAUGAUGUCUUCGGACCAAAGAUUUAUCGCCCUGAGAGAGGUCCGCGUCCUAUUAGCUAGUUGGCGGGGUAAUGGCCCACCAAGGCUGAGAUGGGUAGCGGGUGUGAGAGCACGACCCGCGUCACUGGGACUGAGAUACUGCCCAGACACCUACGGGUGGCUGCAGUCGAGAAUCUUCGGCAAUGGGCGCAAGCCUGACCGAGCGACGCCGCGUGCGGGAUGAAGGCCUUCGGGUUGUAAACCGCUGUGGAGGGGGAGUAAAACCGAACGACCCCUUUAGAAAGCACAGGCUAAGUUCGUGCCAGCAGCCGCGGUAAUUC